RNAcentral lists this long non-coding RNA (967 nucleotides) under Oreochromis niloticus (Nile tilapia). Its description in RNAcentral is "lncRNA (ENSONIG00000024892.2)". The record is from RNAcentral. Lineage: Eukaryota; Metazoa; Chordata; Actinopteri; Cichliformes; Cichlidae.
GAUAACUUUAUCUAGAUUUCAAGAGCAAUAAUUAACUGUGCAGUUAUUAAGCGUAUGGUUUUGUGAGGAGUAACUUUGCCACCACGAACCUGCUAAGGCUUAUGAAAGAGAACGUGUAACAUUAAACUGUUGAGUUUGAGACUUGAAAGUGGAAUAUUUGUUGUGAACAUAGUUGUAAUCUACUUAGAUCCUUGACGUUACACUGCCACCUUCUGAGGUCCUCCUCCAAUGUCUAUGAGACUUUGUCCUUAAGUCCUGUUGUUCUCCAGAGUCUGUGUUCUUCGAGCCUGUCAAAAUCUGAGUAUACUCCGCUUGCACUUGCUUCCACUCUAACUUACUCAGACCUAAUGUGACGCCCACGUCCUCGCAGCGGCGGGAAAUCUGGUGAAACGUAAUCUGUUAGUCCCACCCACUUUAGCGAGCGGCGGGAAAGUAAGACCUGCAGAGACAGCUAAGAGGAUGAAUGUGAGGACUGUUUUAAGCUGACAUUUUCAUUCCAGGAAAAUUUCAAACUCCGAAAUCUACUCGGCUAAUCGAAGUACCAGACGGUGAUAAUCUCACUUUUCAGUGUGAAAUCCCCCCGGGAACCAACUUGAAGGACCGCUCUCUGGUUCUGAAACGAGUCGAUGGAAACACAAGUUACACCACACGUGUCAUCUACACCCGUCGAAAUGGAAAGGAAGAUCUUGGUUCACAGCCGGAGCAAUACAGAAACCGGGUAAUCUUCAUCAGUGGAGACCUGAGGAGAGGAUUCAUGACUGUACAGAUCCGAUCAGUCCAGCAGUCUGAUAGCGGAAAGUUCAAAUGGUUUAUCCCAAAAUCACACACCGCCUGUUUUUUUGAUGUUGUUGUGACAGAGAAGCAAAACCGUACCAAUGAGAAUGACACUAGCACAACAGCAACGUUAACAGAGGAAAUGCCAGAUACAGGUAAGACUCGCACAAUGAGGUCAUCGUUUUGUUUUUAA